Molecule: ribosomal RNA, 253 nt
Filed under: uncultured bacterium
Lineage: Bacteria
Description: partial 16S ribosomal RNA
Rfam family: Bacterial small subunit ribosomal RNA
Source: RNAcentral
UACGAAGGGGGCUAGCGUUGCUCGGAAUCACUGGGCGUAAAGGGUGCGUAGGCGGGUCUUUAAGUCAGGGGUGAAAUCCUGGAGCUCAACUCCAGAACUGCCCUUGAUACUGAGGAUCUUGAGUACGGGAGAGGUGAGUGGAACUGCGAGUGUAGAGGUGAAAUUCGUAGAUAUUCGCAAGAACACCAGUGGCGAAGGCGGCUCACUGGCCCGUUACUGACGCUGGGGCACGAAAGCGUGGGGAGCAAACAGG